AGGUGGCUUGAUAAGUCAGAUGUGAAAUCCCCGGGCUUAACCUGGGAACUGCAUCUGAUACUGUCAGGCUAGAAUAGGUGAGAGGAAGGUAGAAUUCCAGGUGUAGCGGUGAAAUGCGUAGAGAUCUGGAGGAAUACCGAUGGCGAAGGCAGCCUUCUGGCAUCAUAUUGACACUGAGGUUCGAAAGCGUGGGUAGCAAACAGGAUUAGAUACCCUGGUAGUCCACGCCGUAAACGAUGUCUACUAGUCGUUGGGUCCCUUGAGGACUUAGUGACGCAGCUAACGCAAUAAGUAGACCGCCUGGGGAGUACGGCCGCAAGGUUAAAACUCAAAUGAAUUGACGGGGGCCCGCACAAGCGGUGGAGCAUGUGGUUUAAUUCGAUGCAACGCGAAGAACCUUACCUGGUCUUGACAUAUCUAGAAUCUUGUAGAGAUACGAGAGUGCCUUCGGGAAUUAGAAUACAGGUGCUGCAUGGCUGUCGUCAGCUCGUGUCGUGAGAUGUUGGGUUAAGUCCCGCAACGAGCGCAACCCUUGUCCUUAGUUACCAGCGGGUUAAGCCGGGAACUCUAAGGAUACUGCCAGUGACAAACUGGAGGAAGGCGGGGACGACGUCAAGUCAUCAUGGCCCUUACGACCAGGGCUACACACGUGCUACAAUGGUAGGUACAGAGGGCAGCUACACAGCGAUGUGAUGCGAAUCUUUCAAAGCCUAUCGUAGUCCAGAUUGGAGUCUGCAACUCGACUCCAUGAAGUAGGAAUCGCUAGUAAUCGCGGAUCAGAAUGCCGCGGUGAAUACGUUCCCGGGCCUU
Molecule: ribosomal RNA, 810 nt
Filed under: Psychrobacter maritimus
Lineage: Bacteria; Pseudomonadati; Pseudomonadota; Gammaproteobacteria; Moraxellales; Moraxellaceae
Description: bacterial SSU rRNA
Rfam family: Bacterial small subunit ribosomal RNA
Source: RNAcentral